Molecule: ribosomal RNA, 479 nt
Filed under: uncultured organism
Description: partial 16S ribosomal RNA
Rfam family: Bacterial small subunit ribosomal RNA
Source: RNAcentral
GUACACUCCUACGGGAGGCAGCAGUGGGGAAUUUUGGACAAUGGGCGAAAGCCUGAUCCAGCAAUGCCGCGUGUGUGAAGAAGGCCUUCGGGUUGUAAAGCACUUUUGUCCGGAAAGAAAUCCUUGGCUCUAAUACAGUCGGGGGAUGACGGUACCGGAAGAAUAAGCACCGGCUAACUACGUGCCAGCAGCCGCGGUAAUACGUAGGGUGCGAGCGUUAAUCGGAAUUACUGGGCGUAAAGCGUGCGCAGGCGGUUUGCUAAGACCGAUGUGAAAUCCCCGGGCUCAACCUGGGAACUGCAUUGGUGACUGGCAGGCUAGAGUAUGGCAGAGGGGGGUAGAAUUCCACGUGUAGCAGUGAAAUGCGUAGAGAUGUGGAGGAAUACCGAUGGCGAAGGCAGCCCCCUGGGCCAAUACUGACGCUCAUGCACGAAAGCGUGGGGAGCAAACAGGAUUAGAAACCCCGGUAGUCCCAUGAU